RNAcentral lists this small RNA (76 nucleotides) under Xanthomonas vesicatoria. RNAcentral's name for it is "sX9". It matches the Rfam family "Xanthomonas sRNA sX9". The record is from RNAcentral. Lineage: Bacteria; Pseudomonadati; Pseudomonadota; Gammaproteobacteria; Lysobacterales; Lysobacteraceae.
AUACAUCACUCGUACACGCCGGCUCCUCCGCGCUGUCCGCACUCACCCGAAGACUGUGCGCUGCGUUGUGUGAGCC